ACACGGAAGGUCCGGGCGUUAUCCGGAUUUAUUGGGUUUAAAGGGAGCGCAGGCGGAGAUGCAAGCGUGACGUCAAAUUUCGGGGCUCAACCCCGUCUCGCGUCGCGAACUGCGUCCCUUGGUUGCGGGAAGGGGAGGCGGAACUCGUGGUGUAGCGGUGAAAUGCAUAGAUAUCACGAAGAACUCCGAUCGCGAAGGCAGCCUUCCGGCCCGUCAACGACGCUCAUGCUCGAAGGUGCGGGUAUCAAACAGGAUUAGAUACCCUGGUAGUCCGCACAGUAAACGAUGGACACCCGCGGUUUGGCCUGUAUGGCUGAGCCGCCAAGCGAAAGCGUUAAGUGUCCCACCUGGGGAGUACGCCGGCAACGGUAAAACUCAAAUGAAUUGACGGGG
This 393-nucleotide ribosomal RNA is filed under the name uncultured bacterium. RNAcentral's name for it is "partial 16S ribosomal RNA". It matches the Rfam family "Bacterial small subunit ribosomal RNA", at positions 523 to 918 of the family's 1533-position model. The record is from RNAcentral.